UACAGAGGUCUCAAGCGUUGUUCGGAUUCAUUGGGCGUAAAGGGUGCGUAGGCGGCGCGGUAAGUCGGGUGUGAAAUCUUGGAGCUUAACUCCGAAACUGCAUUCGAUACUGCCGUGCUUGAGGACUGGAGAGGAGACUGGAAUUCCCGGUGUAGCGGUGAAAUGUGUAGAGAUCGGGAGGAACACCGGUGGCGAAGGCGGGUCUCUGGGCAACUCCUGACGCUGAGGCGCGAAAGCGUGGGGAGCAAACGGG
RNAcentral lists this ribosomal RNA (253 nucleotides) under uncultured bacterium. Its description in RNAcentral is "partial 16S ribosomal RNA". It matches the Rfam family "Bacterial small subunit ribosomal RNA", at positions 524 to 776 of the family's 1533-position model. The record is from RNAcentral.